UUCGCAAUGCCCGAAAGGGUGACGAAGCGACGCCGCGUGGGUGAAGAAGGCCUUCGGGUUGUAAAGCCCUGUCAGGAGUUAUGAAAUGUAGGUGCGAUAAUACCGUGCCUGUUUGACAAAGGCUCCAAAGGAAGCCACGGCUAACUCUGUGCCAGCAGCCGCGGUAAUACAGAGGUGGCAAGCGUUGUUCAGAAUUAUUGGGCGUAAAGAGCACGUAGGUGGAUUUGUAAGUCAGGUGUGAAAGCCUUCUGUUCAACGGAAGAAUUGCAUCUGAAACUACAAACCUUGAGUGUAGGAGGGGAGAAUGGAACUUCUGGUGGAGCGGUGAAAUGCGUAGAUAUCAGAAGGAACGCCGGCGGCGAAAGCGAUUCUCUGGCCUAUUACUGACACUGAGUGUGCGAAAGUUAGGGGAGCAAACGGGACUAGAUACCCCGGUAGUCCUAGCCGUAAACGAUGGGCACUAAGUAGAGGGGUUUU
Molecule: ribosomal RNA, 477 nt
Filed under: Candidatus Scalindua marina (nom. nud.)
Lineage: Bacteria; Pseudomonadati; Planctomycetota; Candidatus Brocadiia; Candidatus Brocadiales; Candidatus Scalinduaceae
Description: bacterial SSU rRNA
Rfam family: Bacterial small subunit ribosomal RNA
Source: RNAcentral